GCUCCCGUGGCGCAGGGUGCGCACUCCCUCCAGGUGACCCUUGGAGACCGCCUUCGUUUCGGGGAGGCCAAGGGUUCGAUUCCCUGCGGGUGCA
Molecule: non-coding RNA, 94 nt
Organism: Mycena polygramma
Lineage: Eukaryota; Fungi; Basidiomycota; Agaricomycetes; Agaricales; Mycenaceae
Source: the annotation of a GenBank genome assembly